UACGUAGGGGGCAAGCGUCAUCCGGAUUUACUGGGUGUAAAGGGAGCGUAGACGGCGAUGCAAGUCUGAAGUGAAAGGCGGGGGCCCAACCCCCGGACUGCUUUGGAAACUGUAUGGCUGGAGUGCAGGAGAGGUAAGUGGAAUUCCUAGUGUAGCGGUGAAAUGCGUAGAUAUUAGGAGGAACACCAGUGGCGAAGGCGGCUUACUGGACUGUAACUGACGUUGAGGCUCGAAAGCGUGGGGAGCAAACAGG
This 253-nucleotide ribosomal RNA is filed under the name uncultured bacterium. RNAcentral describes it as "partial 16S ribosomal RNA". It matches the Rfam family "Bacterial small subunit ribosomal RNA", at positions 524 to 776 of the family's 1533-position model. The record is from RNAcentral.